UGGGGAAUAUUGGACAAUGGGCGCAAGCCUGAUCCAGCAAUGCCGCGUGUGUGAAGAAGGCCUUCGGGUUGUAAAGCACUUUUAUCAGGAGCGAAACGCUGUCGGCUAAUACCCGGCGGAACUGACGGUACCUGAGGAAUAAGCACCGGCUAACUUCGUGCCAGCAGCCGCGGUAAUACGAAGAGUGCAAGCGUUAAUCGGAAUUACUGGGCGUAAAGCGUGCGUAGGCGGUUUCUUAAGUCUGUUGUGAAAUCCCCGGGCUCAACCUGGGAAUGGCAGUGGAUACUGGGAGGCUAGAGUGUGUCAGAGGGUGGUGGAAUUCCCGGUGUAGCGGUGAAAUGCGUAGAGAUCGGGAGGAACAUCAGUGGCGAAGGCGGCCACCUGGGACAACACUGACGCUGAGGCACGAAAGCGUGGGGAGCAAACAGGAUUAGGAUACCCUGGUAGUCCACGCCCUAAAGCGAUGCGAACUGGAUGUUGGUCUCAACUCGGAGAUCAGUGUCGAAGCUAACGCGUUAAGUUCGCCGCCU
This 530-nucleotide ribosomal RNA is filed under the name uncultured bacterium. RNAcentral describes it as "partial 16S ribosomal RNA". It matches the Rfam family "Bacterial small subunit ribosomal RNA", at positions 355 to 874 of the family's 1533-position model. The record is from RNAcentral.